Molecule: ribosomal RNA, 492 nt
Filed under: uncultured bacterium
Lineage: Bacteria
Description: partial 16S ribosomal RNA
Rfam family: Bacterial small subunit ribosomal RNA
Source: RNAcentral
AGUGAACGCUGGCGGUAGGCUUAACACAUGCAAGUCGAACGGCAGCACAGUAAGAGCUUGCUCUUACGGGUGGCGAGUGGCGGACGGGUGAGGAAUACACCGGCAUCUACUUUUUCGUGGGGGAUAACGUAGGGAAACUUACGCUAAUACUGCACACGACCUACGGGUGAAAGCAGGGGAUCUUCGUACCUUGCGCGACUGAAUGAGCCGAUGUCGGAUUAGCUAGUAGGCGGGGUAAAGGCCCACCACGGCGACGCACCGUAGCUGGUCUGAGAGGAUGAUGAGCCACACUGGAUCUGAGACACGGGCGAGACUCCUACGGGAGGCAGCAGUGGGGAGUAUUGGACAAUGGGCGCAAGCCUGAUCCAGCCAGACCGCGUGGGUGAAGAAGGCCCUCCCGUUGUGAAGCCCUUGUGUUUGGAGAGAAAAUCAACAGAUUGGCACCCAGCUGUCCUCACGGUACCCAAGCCAUAAGCACCGCCUCAACUCGUG